CCCCCCCCCCCCCCCCCCCCCCCCGCGAGCGUCGCGCUAGUGAAAUGCAUCAGAUGCGCAAGUAAGUUCAUCCCAUUCCUCUCUCUCUCUCUCUAUUUCCUUCGCACACAUUUCAUCCCAUUCUCAUCUCGACCUCCAUUUUUCUGAUCUAUUUCAGUCUUAUAUGUUCUAAUCCUCCUCAAAUCUAGGAGCUGCGAGCAAUUACGGGGUCAAGGAUUUGUUUCUGAGCAAUUCAUUGCAGGAACACAUUGACUUUAAUCUCUGUGUUCGAAUUCCCUAUGAAUCUAGCAUUAUUCUAGAGGUUGAUCUGCUUUUCCUUCAGUUAUGCAGUGGUUGUCAUGAGGAGGUUCAUUUCUGGAGUUGAGGAGGUUGUCAGCAGGGCAUUAAAUGGUGGAGGGUGCAGUGAAUAGAGGUAGAUCUACGAAAAUAUUUGAUUUAAGCUUUAGCAUAUUCACCAUUGUUAGGCUAUUCAAGAUUCAUUAGUUUGUAUAUCCGGUGUCACUAUGGAAGUGAGAAAUUGGUUGCAGUUAUACAUCAUUAUGUAGCCAACGAAAUACCUUAAAUCUAGUUGGCUACGUACUAAUCUUAAGUUGCAAUAUAUGCAUUGCAUCAGUAAGUUGGCUAGGUACUUCACCUGGAACCUAUAUCUUUCCCUACUUGAGAUUAUAACUGAUAUUUUGUUUGUAUGUAACUCUUGCUGUCUUGUUGGAGUCAGUUCAUAGUGAAAGUGCAAGUAUUUGAGAAGGUUCUUAGUUAAAAGAAUAACAGUUACCUGAGGUUUGAAUUAGUAAAUAUCAAAGCAAGUUAGAAUAGAUUUGGUUUCAGCUUCUCUUUAUUCACAGAUGCAUUCUGCUAUAUUGUCUAUACUACAAAAAUAAAUAUACUUGUGGUGAUUUGAUAAAAAAAAUACUUACAUGCGUAGAGAAGGAACAUUUGCGGAACAUUAGACAACAAUCAUGAUUCAUUCAGGCAGUACUAUGUAGUGCUACUGUUUUGUUGUUCGAUUGGUGAUGCUAGUUAUUUGAUUGUUCACUAUUUAAAUAAUUUAUCUUUUAGAUUCAAGUAGUACUACUAUUAGCAUCAAGUUACAUGAUAGUUCAUGUUUUCAUCAGUAGUGAACUAUCGGACAUGUAAUAUUAGAUAUUUACUCCCUGUUUUCAUCUAUUCAAAGUAAUAAAGAUAAUAUAAAAAGUGAUGUUAUAUAGAAAGAACCCCACCUCCUGCUAUGUUCAGUUUUCUUUCAUUACAAUUUUUCUAUGAAUCUGUAAGCAAGGUUUUAAUACCAUGGCACCAUGCAACUCAGUUAUAUUUUGGUACUAUUAUAAAAUUGCCUUUUUUUUCUUGAGGAAAUACAAACCCCAAAUCUUGAGAGCCUCAGUGGAGGCUGCCACUCCACAGUUUCCAUGGUCAUCGGCUCCCAUGCUGAGAUGUCUAAUACCAUGCACCUCUACAACAGUUGACACUAACCUUUUCUUUUAUGUUGCCUCAUCAUUUUAUUUUUAUUCCAUCGUAAUGUUCCAUUGCUAAUCCAUAAUUUAGCAAUGACAACUUUUCUUAAGUCAUCAAGUAAUUUAGUAAUUUUAGUUCAGCACUUUUGCAGUCUGAUUCUAGCAUUUUUCCAAUAUUCCUACUAAUCAUUUUUUAUUUCAUGUAGGCAACUUAAGCUAAAUCAUCAAGCAAUUUAUUUUUACUAAUUUAGCAUUUUUGUAUUCAGAUUCUAGCAUUUUUCCCAUGUUCCUACUGAUCAUUUGUUUGGAUUUCAUGUAUGCACCUUAUGUUCAAUCAACAUGCAAAUUAAUCAUACUAGCUAAGCAAUCUUGUGUCGUGAUUGUUAGCAGUUUUUCACGAAUUGUGAUAAUUUGUUUUUUGUAAUUUCUACUGAUCACUGCGUGCACUUACAUGUGUACACCAUCUAUGCUAAAUGAGCAAACAAAUUAUUCAUUAUGCAAUGAUACUAUUUUGUGGGUCGAUUGUUAACUUUCUAGACUGCAAGUUACUUGAUUAUUUUAGGGUACACAUUAUCUAGCAUCACUAUGGGAUCUGAUUUUUGGAGCUUUCUAUUAAUUUCUCCCUUUCUCUCUAUCAUAGAUUGUCAUGCUCGUAUCCUCUUUCUUUCUUUAUCACUCUUGCUGCCUUUUUCUUGAACUUCUUCUCUUAGGUUCAAAAUUUUAUGUAGUUUCAUAACGUUUGCAUUUCUAUAAAAUCAUGUUGUUUCAGUCACAUGUGUUUUGUAGUUCUGAAAUGAUGUACAAUUGAAGGUGUUGCCGGAUGGGGCUACUCAUCCGAUCAAUAAGUCAUUGCAUUUGUUCAAUUUGAAGUGACCCACAACUAGGCUCAUUGCACUGCUGUUUUCUGCAGGUUGGUUUCCAUGACAUUUUUCUUGGAUGGAGCUUGUUGUUGCUCAUGAUCCACAAUUUGUAUAGCUUGAAAUUUGGACACUUUUAAAUUAUAUGUUUUAAACUACAACUUGUAGGCAACUUAACUAAACCAACAAGUAAAUUAUUCAUAGAUUAGCUAUCGGUUCUACUGGAAUUCACUUUUAGACAACUCUAAUGAACAAGCAAUUUAUUCUAUUUUAGGUUAGCAUUUUUGUGUGUUCUGGCUUUGGCAUUUUCUCCUAUUACAACAGGUUGUCAUUUCGGAUAUACUUAUCUUACCUACCAUCUUUUGUUUGUACUUAUUCAAAUUCUUGCUUGGUUAUAGGGUCCAGAGGAGGUGUGAAGACUUGUUUUUUAUAUGUUCGGACAACCCCUUCUUGUUUAGAAAUGUAUUAUGAUAUCUGACAUAUGUGUUCUUUUCAUCAGGGGUGGGGUGGGGGUUGAAAAUAAAAUAUUAAUGUGCUGAAUGACAGUAUGGUGUUCUAAGUUGCCUCAUCAUGUAUGUUUUGCUU
Long non-coding RNA from Panicum virgatum (switchgrass), 2890 nucleotides. RefSeq lists it as uncharacterized. NCBI's taxonomy places the organism in Eukaryota, Viridiplantae, Streptophyta, Magnoliopsida, Poales, Poaceae. The transcript has 2 exons. The record is from RefSeq and is a predicted model, not a curated record.